RNAcentral lists this ribosomal RNA (293 nucleotides) under uncultured bacterium. RNAcentral's name for it is "partial 16S ribosomal RNA". It matches the Rfam family "Archaeal small subunit ribosomal RNA", at positions 455 to 747 of the family's 1478-position model. The record is from RNAcentral.
GUGCCAGCCGCCGCGGUAAUACCGGCAGCUCAAGUGAUGUCCCAUAUUAUUGGGCCUAAAGCGUCCGUAGCUGGCCGCGCAAGUCCGUCGGGAAAUCCAUCAGCCCAACUGAUGGGCGUCCGGCGGAAACUGCACGGCUUGGGACCGGAAGGCUCGAGAGGUACGUCCGGGGUAGGAGUGAAAUCCCGUAAUCCCGAACGGACCACCGAUGGCGAAAGCAUCUCGAGAAAACGGAUCCGACAGUGAGGGACGAAAGCCAGGGUCUCCAACCGGAUUAGAAACCCUAGUAGUCC